GUGCCAGCAGCUGCGGUAAUACGGAGGGUGCAAGCGUUAAUCGGAAUUACUGGGCGUAAAGCGCACGCAGGCGGUCUGUCAAGUCGGAUGUGAAAUCCCCGGGCUCAACCUGGGAACUGCAUUCGAAACUGGCAGGCUGGAGUCUUGUAGAGGGGGGUAGAAUUCCAGGUGUAGCGGUGAAAUGCGUAGAGAUCUGGAGGAAUACCGGUGGCGAAGGCGGCCCCCUGGACAAAGACUGACGCUCAGGUGCGAAAGCGUGGGGAGCAAACAGGAUUAGAUACCCUGGUAGUCCACGCCGUAAACGAUGUCGAUUUGGAGGUUGUGCCCUUGAGCGUGGCUUCCGGAGCUAACGCGUUAAAUCGACCGCCUGGGGAGUACGGCCGCAAGGUUAAAACUCAAAUGAAUUGACGGGGCCCGCACAAGCGUGGAGCAUGUGGUUAAUUCGAUGCAACGCGAAGACCUUACUGGUCUUGACAUCCACAGAACUUAGCAGAGAUGCUUUGUGCCUUCGGGAACUGUGAGAC
RNAcentral lists this ribosomal RNA (524 nucleotides) under uncultured Klebsiella sp. Its description in RNAcentral is "bacterial SSU rRNA". It matches the Rfam family "Bacterial small subunit ribosomal RNA", at positions 505 to 1035 of the family's 1533-position model. The record is from RNAcentral. Lineage: Bacteria; Pseudomonadati; Pseudomonadota; Gammaproteobacteria; Enterobacterales; Enterobacteriaceae.